UAAUUUCUGCUCGUUAGUUUAAGUAUGAGGCUCUUGGGAGAGGGUGAUGGGGGUUUGGUUUUUGGGAAGGGUUGCCGCUUCCUUGCGUGUCUCUUCUCCCAAGCCGAUGAUUCUUAACCAAUGCCCACAACCCUUCCCUUCCUGCUGCACCGCAGGGAUCCGGAAUCGGAUCGUACUUGUAUCCUUCGCGCGAAAGAAUGAUUCAUCUUCCUUCAAGCCAAUCCACCAUUGGAUCAUCCACGGCUGGAUCCUUGUGAUUCCGUUCGAGCUUUUAAGCGAUCGUCGCAAGUGAUGGAGAAUCUCAGAUUCUUGGUGCGUAAACCCUAAUCCCUAAUCCUGAUACCUUCAGGUUCUUGGGGUUCGAAACCCUAAAUCCUGAGAUCCUUGGGCUUGUGGAACCCUAAACCCUGGAUCCUCUCUUCUUGUUUUCCAUCCUAAUGGAUCGAUGGCGUGGCAGCUCGGAUGGCCACCAAGGCAACCGCUGCAGCCAUUCCUUUAGAAGGGGUUCAGAAGAGGGCGGAGAGGAAGGGAACCAUAUAGUGUGAUCGAUCGAAUUAGGGAUUAGGCGGUGGUCCAAUCGGACGAGGCGGUGCGCUCCAUAUCGGAUUUUCUAUACCGCAGGCGGUGUACAAAGAAUUUCUUGUCCUAUAAAUACCCGGGCUGGAGCAUUUCUGCUUAUUUUUUGCUCAUUAGUUUGAGGCUUUUGGGAGAGGGUGAUGGGGGUUUGGUUUUUGGGAAGGGUUGCCGCCUCCUUGCGUGUCUCUUCUCCCAAGCUGAUGAUUCGUAACCAGUGCCCACAACCCUUCCCUUCCCGCUGCACAGCGGGGAUUCGGAAUUGGAUCGUACUUGUAUCCUUCGUGCGAAAGAAUGAUUCAUCUUCCUUCAAGCCAAUCCAUUGUUAGAUCAUCCAUGGCUCGGUUUGAUCUCUCUCUCUCUCUCUCUCCCUCCCCCCUUAUGUUUUAGAGGCGAUGAUGAUGUUGUUUGUCUCCAGUUCCUUGUGAUUCGGUUCAAGCUUUUAAGCGAUUGUCGCAAGUGAUGGAGAAUCUUAGAUUCUUGAUGCGUAAUCCCUAAUGCUGAUAUCUUCCGGCUUUUGGGGUUGGAAACCCUAAGUCCUGAGUUCUUGGGUUUGUGGAACCCUAAACCCUUGAUCCUCUCUUCUUGUUUUCCAUCGUAAUGAAUCGAUGUCGGGGCAGUUUGGAUGGCCGCCAAGGCAACCGCUGCAGCCAUUCCUUUUGAAGGGGUUCAGAAGAGGGUGGAGAGGAAGGGAAUCAUAUAAUGUGAUCGACGAUUAAAGGCGAAUCUGAGCCUCGCCCCCU
Molecule: long non-coding RNA, 1316 nt
Organism: Elaeis guineensis (African oil palm)
Lineage: Eukaryota; Viridiplantae; Streptophyta; Magnoliopsida; Arecales; Arecaceae
Source: RefSeq, a predicted model, not a curated record